RNAcentral lists this ribosomal RNA (424 nucleotides) under uncultured bacterium. RNAcentral describes it as "partial 16S ribosomal RNA". It matches the Rfam family "Bacterial small subunit ribosomal RNA", at positions 355 to 767 of the family's 1533-position model. The record is from RNAcentral.
UGGGGAAUUUUGGACGAAUUGGGCGAAAGCCUGAUCCAGCAAUGCCGCGUGUGUGAAGAAGGCCUUCGGGUUGUAAAGCACUUUUGUCCGGAAAGAAAUCCUUGGCUCUAAUACAGUCGGGGGAUGACGGUACCGGAAGAAUAAGCACCGGCUAACUACGUGCCAGCAGCCGCGGUAAUACGUAGGGUGCAAGCGUUAAUCGGAAUUACUGGGCGUAAAGCGUGCGCAGGCGGUUUGCUAAGACCGAUGUGAAAUCCCCGGGGCUCAACCUGGGAACUGCAUUGGUGACUGGGCAGGCUAGAGUAUGGCAGAGGGGGGUUAGAAUUCCACGUGUAGCAGUGAAAUGCGUAGAGAUGUGGAGGAAUACCGAUGGCGAAGGCAGCCCCUGGGCCAAUACUGACGCUCAUGCACGAAAGCGUGGGGA